Solanum pennellii is the source of this 2401-nucleotide RNA transcript. It is a transcript of the gene named protein PTST homolog 2, chloroplastic-like, with no coding region annotated. The transcript has 8 exons. The record is from RefSeq and is a predicted model, not a curated record. Lineage: Eukaryota; Viridiplantae; Streptophyta; Magnoliopsida; Solanales; Solanaceae.
UGGAUAAGAAUGUGUUUUUUCAAUUCUUCUUCUCCAUUGGCCUUAAAUGGACAAAACCAAAUCUUGAAAACAGGGGCUAGAGACACAAAGCGACUCGCAAACAAAAAGCCUGUAGAAGUGUGUGAAUUACAUUACUGUAUUCAUACUCAUUCGCUGCGUAUAAAAGUAUUAAUUAAAGUAAAUUCAGAAUCCAAGUGCAUUGUCAUUGCUUCACAACAGUAUAAUUAUUUCUUGAGGUGGCCACCAACUGUUUGAAGAAAUGCCUGAACGAUGGUUUCACUCAUUUCGACACCGACCCUUUUGAGUUUUUCACCUAUUCCAACUCCAAUAGUCAGAAAUUCCCAAAAAAGACUUCAUUGCAGAAGAAAAGCUGCCAUUUUUAAUCUUGUAUUGGGAAAAAAUAUGGGGUCUUUUCAGGUUUUCAAGAAGCUUAGCAAGAAAAGAGUUGGAGAUAGUUCAUAUUGCUUGUGUAGGAAAGGGUUGGGAAGUGAAGGGGAUAUGGAGCUGGAAGAGGAAAUUUUGGCUUUCAUGGAGAUAUCUGAGAACCCAAAUGUUUUUCCAACAAGGAAAGAAUUGGAAAAAGCUGGAAGAGUGGAUUUGGUGGAAGCUAUAAAGAAAAGAGGAGGAUGGUUUUCGUUUGGUUGGGACUCUGAGGAUGAUGACACUAACACUAACACUGAGAAUGUUAAUGUUAAUGAGGUUGAGACUGUGGAAAUGGAUUUUUACAUUGAUGAGUUUCAUGAAAGAGUCAAGAGUUGUCAAGAGAGUGAUUUAUUACAUGAGAAUGAAGCUCAUUUUUCUGGUUCUGGAGAUUCUAGUUCUUCUCAGCCCGCCUCGUCCUCUGGUAGAUCGAUAGAAACUGUAGCAGAGGAAAAUAGCGGGAUCGAAGGAAUAUUGAGUCGAUUAGAAAAAGAGAGGAACUCAUCUCUUGGUAUUGAUCUGGGAAAGCCUGGACGUACUUCUCAUACAUCAAGUAGGGACAACAUAGAUGACAGAAGCUUUGGAACCUCUGAUGCAGACAGGACUGACCUACGGAAAAAUGAUAGCCUGAGUAAAGGUAGCUCCAUGAAAGACAUUCAAAGUGACGAGGAGAUUUACCGCAGCGUUUCACCGGCCAGGUGGAGAAAAUGGAGCAUACAACGUGCAGGCCUUCAGGAUAUAGAUUUUGAAGCUGAUGAGGUUGCUCUGGGUAAAAGUUGGAUUGGAAGUACCAGCGAAGCUUCGGGAGAAGAUGUAGUUAAUAUCACUGCGAGUAGAUUUGAAGCUUUACAAAGAUCAAAAAAUGGCAACAACAAUGAGAUGAGCACUCGUCUUAAACAUUUAGAGCUUGAGCUAUCCAUGACACUCCGCUCAUUGAAAUCCAAGAGUGAGGAGUUCAGUUCAAAGGAGGUUUUCGGAAGCUCCCCAAGUGAUUCUGAUGCAUGGGAGUUUCAAGAGAAUGAAUUCAUGAAUGCCCGGGAGAGAUUGAGGUUGAUUCGUGCAAAGCUGGCUGUGCUUGAGGGGAAAAUGACUCUUGCAAUGAUUGAUGCGCAGAAGAUGUUAGACGAGAAGCAGAAGAUGAUUGAUAGGUCUAGUAAAGCUUUGCAGCUUCUUCGUACUGCUCGGAUUGUUUGGACCAACUCCGCCUCAGAGGUUCUUCUAGCAGGUUCUUUUGAUGGAUGGACAACUCAGAAAGUCACUUGGAAAUUAGGAGAGGAACCGGUUUUGUGUGCGCCAUCAAGUCGAUUUUACUAAGGUUGUUUCUAAAGCAUCAAAUGUCUUGAACAGUGAUGUCUCGGUGGUCUCUUAAUAAUGAAAACUGCACAUCUCUAUUUCCCCUUUCCCCUAAAGGCCUUGUACGACCUUCGUGAUGUUGAUUUCAAGGAGUUUCUUGACCUUGACUAGCAGCAUGACACGAUGCAUUGAAAUGCAGAGAAAGAUGGAAAAAUCGAGCACGGGUGUUUUUUCUGUAAGCCUAAAGCUGUAUCCAGGCAGAUAUGAGAUCAAGUUCGUUGUUGAUGGCAUAUGGAAGAUUGAUCCUUUGAGGCCUAUUGUUCACAGCGAUGGACACGAAAACAAUCUUUUCAUUGUUACAUAAGAGCAUGUCCCUACAAAGUUACUUCAGAAUGUGAAAGAUCAACAGAUUCUCUGUGGUUAAGGGACUUCAAAUUUUACUCUCUUGGAAGCUCUACCAAGCGGCGAUGGUUGCUUCUUGACAAUUAUUUGAUCAUUUAGUCUUGGGUUCCAUGUAAAAUUUUGUAGUCCUUUCCACACCUUUCUUUGACUACUAUCCAAUACAGGUUCGUUACCUGGCGAUACAAAGAUGUCUGAGUUAAAACUCGAUCAUCGUUUUAGUAAAAGAAAGUUGAAAUCCUUUGGUACUUUUGGUCUAUCUAAUAUAUUCAGUUGGUUUGUUUACAUA